GUUAAAGGUUUUUAUUUGACUUCUCAAUAACUGCAACUGUAUACAAAUAAAAUUUCAAGAAAAAAUAAUAUCUUCACAUAAUAUCGUAACAUUUCUAUAAUUACAUUCAUGUAUCUGUCUGCAAGGAGACUGAUUAGGAAACAUCUUGGCUUUAUUAAUCUAUUAAGCUUAAACCAAUUAAAAUUCAAUUGCUUCCCCUUUACAACCAACACCCUAAAAUGAACCACUUUUUAAGAUGCUAUUUCUUUGAAGAUUUAAAGAAAUUUCAAGAUAUUCUUUUUUCCUUUUCAUUUUUAUCAAAAUUUUACACUUAGGCUAUAGUUUAUUUUACACUUACAUAUGUAGGGCAUAGUUUGAAAUGCAAAAUAGUACGAUAGACACAAAAAGGGUCAAUUUUAUCAUCAUACUUCUUCAAAACAUAUCAAUAACAAUUUAUACAUUUGUACAGGACUUAAAAAGAUCUUAUGAUGAAAACACUACAACUAAGCAGUUCAGAUAAAUGAAUAAUAAUGUACAAAGGUAUAGUCGGAAUAAUAUCACAGGCACCUGAAGUAUGGAUAUUACUACCCCCCCUCCCCCUUUUGAUAAUUGUAUUUUAUUAUACUGAUAGAAGAUCAAUCCCUAAAGCUUACAAAAAGCGUGAAAUUAUUACAUGGAUCGAAAGAGGAAUGAGACAGAUCAGGAAUUCACACAUUUCAGAGAAAUUAUUGCCACCAAAAAAAAAAUUAUCAAAAGGGGGGGGGGGGGGGUUAGUAAUAUCCAUACUUCAGGUGCCUGUGACAAUAUCCUUGACUGGAGAUAAUCAACAUUUUCUUUAUGCCAGAUUUUCUUUUUUUUUUUAACAAAUCCUUAAACCUGAUACUAUAACAAUAUUUACAAAACUGUACAAGUAUAUCAAUUAAAUUCCAUUAUGAUACAUAUUCAUUAAAAACGUCAAAUUGGACAAUUUUCACACUGUUUAAAGUACACUUCCAAAUGCACUUGACAAAUUUAUACAUUAUGAAAAUUAGCAAUCAACGUCAAUGUGUAGAAAUAUUACGAUAUUUCAAUCCUUCAACAAAUUCAGCAUCAAAAAUAUUAUAUUUCUUACAUGUAGCUGCUAAUGCUUUGAAAAACAUAUUUAAAAAAGUCAAAUGAAGCAGAUGAUAUUACUUAUUGGAAUGUACAUAUAACUGAAAGUUAAACAUACACAUUCUAAUCUGACCCACAACAUAUUAACAAUUUUUCAUAGAACAACAACAUAGAAAAUACAUUGUAUAUUUAUACAUAGAAAAAAAACCUACUAAACAAUAAACAUUAAUUGACUUUGUUAACACAGUUAUGUACACCACAGUAAAGCCCAGAUUAUCAUUAUCUUCUUAAAUGCCUUUCUAUAAUGUUAGAGCAUAGUUUCAACUAUAUCACAAUAACAAUUUACAAUCAGCUACAAUAUCCAAGAAAGAUGAGCACAAAAACUGAGAAACCAUACACUGUAUGUUGAAAUAUUGCACAUAUCAAGCACCAUGUCAAUCUCCAUAGUUCAUGUUCUGCGACAAUUUUUAAAAUUCAAUACAAAGAAAACUGUGUGUGAAGUAAACACAAAUACCCCCAAAUGUGGCCUUGUGAGAGCUCUUUUAACCUACAUGUACAUUCUCACCAGGGUAAGGGUCACUGCACUAAAAAACCACCCCACCCCAAACAAUAAUCAAUAUCUAUCAUGUAUUUUAAGUGAUUGAGUUCAUGCACUUUGACUUCUUGACCUCAGGGGAAAUAUUUCAUUACACAAAUCCAUGAUAUUCAAGUCCAAACCUUCUCAAUUUAUUGCUGGGGAACCAGAUAUCUCAUUUAUUUAAUGAUAGAGUCAAAGUCCUUUGAUCCCAAAACUCCAAGUCAAGAUUUUCAUUAGACCUACUUGUAUUUAUGAAGUCUCUAUCUCCUACAGUUGAACAGUUAUAGUCAUGGUUAAAGUUGCAGACAAACAGUUCAAAAACAAUAUACUCCAUAUCUUUGAUCUUAAAAGGAUACAAGCAAGAUGUUUUUGUGACACACUAUGGCCCUAACCUGGGCAAAGUUCAAUUCUGACUUGAUGUAUAAUUUUGAUCUUUAUCAGUAACAUGGCUUUGACUAUAACCUUUAAGUUCAGCAAGUACAAAGUUUCAAUCUGGUAUGUUUCAAACAUUAGGAUCAAAGUUAAAUUUACAGACAAAGUGACAGACAAACCAAAACAAUUUGUGAUUCAAUCUUCAGCGAGGGGGGGAGGGGGGGGGGGGGAGAUAAAACAAUUUCUUAUACAUGUUUUAAUUUUGUGAUGAG
This is a long non-coding RNA of Ostrea edulis (European flat oyster), 2292 nucleotides long. RefSeq lists it as uncharacterized. The record is from RefSeq and is a predicted model, not a curated record. The transcript has 2 exons. Lineage: Eukaryota; Metazoa; Mollusca; Bivalvia; Ostreida; Ostreidae.